Molecule: RNase P RNA, 355 nt
Filed under: Candidatus Symbiothrix sp.
Lineage: Bacteria; Pseudomonadati; Bacteroidota; Bacteroidia; Bacteroidales
Description: RNase P RNA component class A
Rfam family: Bacterial RNase P class A
About the family: Ribonuclease P (RNase P) is a ubiquitous endoribonuclease, found in archaea, bacteria and eukarya as well as chloroplasts and mitochondria. Its best characterised activity is the generation of mature 5'-ends of tRNAs by cleaving the 5'-leader elements of precursor-tRNAs.
Source: RNAcentral
AUAGUCGAUCGGUCUGCCGCUUUUUCUUAAAAAGAGGAAAGUCCGGACAACAUAGAGCGCCCUACUAUCUAACGGAUAGCUGUUCGCGAGGGCAGAGUUAAGUAGAAGAAAAUAACCGCCGGGCUUUUUUGUCAGGUAAGGGUGAGAAGGUAAGGUAAGAGCUUACCGGUUCCGGUAGCAAUAUUGGAAGCCGUACAACUUAGGGGUUGCAAGAUCAUGUACACCGGCGCAUGUAGGAUGGCUCGUCCGAUGCCGGGGGGUAGAUUGCUGGAGUCGGAUGGCGACAUUCGAUCGAGAUAAAUGGCAGACAUUCCGUUUCGGAAUACAGAAUCCGGCUUACAGAUCGACUAUUUUU